CCGUUUAUGCAAUGAGUGCAUUUUCUCAUGGUCCUGAUUUGACUUCCCACAGACGAGACUUAAGUGUAUCUGCAAUAUCCCAGUGAAUCAUCAAAAUAAGCCUGUCACAGAGAAACGGCGAUACCAGAUGUAAUACCUCUUGAGAUAUAACUCUGCUGGUGUGAGUCUUCACCUAGAAGCCUCUAGAAAUGGAGCGGCUCAACCCCGGAUGACACUAAUAACCAGCCAAACACCCUGCAAAUUGGAGCAGGGUGAGGAAGGUGACCGCAGACACUUCUGAAGAGAAAAGCGUUACCCUGCCUUGUUCCCGGGUGCCCGCAUCUGUCCAGCAGCACGGUGGUGAAGCAACUUUGUACUUUGUCUCAGCCCUAGUUCUCCUGGUUUGGUACAACUGGACAUAUUUGGAAGACCUCCAUUCUUCUUCCUUUGUCCUACCCAGCUACCUGAUAUCGUCUGGAAAUAAAGCUAAGAGGCAGGAUUGGUCUCAAGGUAUGUUAGCGAAGUAGAAGACAAAAGUAUUACUGUUUUGUCAUGUAUAUGAUGUCAAGCUGUAAAGCCUCUGAAACGUAUGAAGGGUGGUCUACGGGUUAAGACACCUUUGCUGUGAAAGAUCCAGGUUAGGCCUCAGAAGGGAGGGCAGUGGGAAGCGACCCUCUGCGGCUGUGGACAGGCAAGGUCGUGGCAGUGAUUAAAAAAAAAAAAUUGUUGUACGUAAUGACAAUCCAGAUAUGCCCACUGGAAAUUCUUUAAGGUAAGUUUUUUCUUUAUUUCUCUCCUCGCAUUGUAACCUGAGUCUGAGUGACAUAUAAGGCUUCAUGCAGUUCAGUCAUCAGACUUUAUCUGCCUUCUCUGGAUGCUUUCUUGGUCAUAGCAGCCACUGAAGCUCUAUCCUUAAGGGCUCUGAUUCUCAUAUUAAUAUAACUCAGUGAUUA
This 932-nucleotide long non-coding RNA is filed under the name Struthio camelus australis. RNAcentral describes it as "lncRNA (ENSSCUG00000013689.1)". The record is from RNAcentral. Lineage: Eukaryota; Metazoa; Chordata; Aves; Struthioniformes; Struthionidae.